RNAcentral lists this long non-coding RNA (2473 nucleotides) under Triticum aestivum (bread wheat). Its description in RNAcentral is "long non-coding RNA (TAES_LNC014162)". Lineage: Eukaryota; Viridiplantae; Streptophyta; Magnoliopsida; Poales; Poaceae. The record is from RNAcentral.
UAAAAACACACACCUUCGUUGUAUUUGCACAAAUGUAUAAUAGUUGUACAUAAUCACUCCAGAAAUUUAAAGACACAAAAGCGACGCACGCACACACACACACACAUAUAUAUAUAUAUUAACCAUAAUCAUUUUACAUGUCAACAACCAGGAGCUUACAGAAGUAUCCUACACUUCACAAAGUGUCAUCUAACUAGGAUUGUCACACACACUAUAAAUCAUGCAAGUCACUGAUCCAAGAGAUCACAACCAUCGGCAUGUGCAUGGCCAAAAAGAGGAGUGGCGGGUUGCACUUAAUUAAGUAUGCAUAUCCUAGUAACAAGCAUUGGCUUCCAAUUUAUCGACACAAAAAGUUUAUGGCACUUCCUUCACAACCGCAAGAGACAUCUCAAAAAGGAGGUAGUUCGUCACUAGGCGGAGAGAAAUUUCUAGUUUGCAUCAAAAGAGCCAGCAAACAUUCCAUCUUCUGCUCCAUGCGAUGUAUUAUUCAUAUUUUCAGCACCAUUAGUUGAUUCACCUGUGGAGGGCUGCAGAAAUGUCUUUUUCAGAAUCUUGAUAUAUCAAAUCAUAAAUAAUGACUACAAAAAUUCUUAGUUGAUUCAACAGCAAGAUAGAUGUUAAACUAUGUAGCAAUGAUUGGCGUGCAUUGUUAUAUAUAAUUUUGCAUCACAAAGUUUGCCAUCAAACAACACAAUGCUUAUAAUGAAUGGAAAGAUUUACCCUAUGUAGCAAUUGAACCAUGGCUGAGAAAACCCUUUUGUUUGUAUUUUUUCUUACAAUAUACUUAACAUAUUCUAAUAAAGAUGGUAAGCACCACAUCACUAAAAUGUCCUGGACUGCUCUAGCUUAAUGUACAUUGAUAGAAAAGGCUCAAGCUACUACAAAUACCACAAAUGCCUCCUUAUUUUCAAUUAAGGACCUAGAGAAGAACACAUAGCAGAGGUAGUACCAUAGCUUCAAGGCUGUUGUGUUAUUAGUUGUAACAUAUUGUGUUGGCAAAAUAGCUUCAACACAAUAGCAAUAAAAAAAACAGAUGCACAUUUGCUGCUAUAGUGCAACCUAUUCCUUUUCUUUUCUUAUUUGGCCGAUCUGGUGUUAUUGCCUUCAAAAGAAAUAUGCACAUACCAUUUGUGGAGAAAAGAUCGGAGACGAAGUGGUUAAUGUUGAAAAAGCUGGAGGUGGAGGUAUAACAAUACAUGGAAUCUCAGGCCCUUGAAUUCCUUGAAGGGAUGUGAUGGUCUGACAUUUUUCAUACAAAUUAGAAAGCUAUAUCGAAUGGCUUUACACACCAUAAGAAACUUAUGCAGACCACCAAGGCUACUCUCCACUGUAGUCUGGACAGAAUUGUUAGCACACCAUUUGGCUUUCUCACAUUUUUUCCUCAAUGUAUGUAAUUCUAACCAGUGCCUAGCGCAAGAAAAUAGAUAUAAGUUAAACACUACACCCCAAGGUAUCUCAUAGUGUAAUAUGUCAAAUACCUCAAGGUGUGCUAAACAGUAAUGCGUGGAUUAAAUGAUAACUCACAUGUGCCCAUCAGGUCUAAUCAAUGGACGUUUAGACUCAUUUGCAAUAGGCGCAGUAGAAGUUCUGCAAAACCUCUUAAGAAUUUGGGGGGUGGAAGCCACUCGUCAUCCUGUAAAAUUGAAUUCAGAUGCAUUAGUAAGGUCCACAAAAACCAUAGUUUCAAAUCGCGGGCGAAAAGACCGCUAUCGCGGCGCUAUCCCUGCAUGAAAUCAGCCCCGCGAUUUGUUUCCUUACCAGAAUCACGGGAGAUCGCGCCGCAAUCGCCGGAGAUCGCGCUGUUUCUUCAUUAAUUAUCGCGGCAAAUUUCCCUUCCGCGAUUCCGUUCGCCCGCGAUUUAAAUCUAUGACAAAAACACACAACUAAAAUUACACAUUUCUGAGUAGGGUUCAGUAUAGCAGCAGAAUAUAUGUGCAUAAAGUCAUAAAAUAACUAGAGAUAAAUAUAACCACCAGAGAUACAAUUGUAAGUUCAACACGAAGGGAAACAACCAGAAAAUCAACAAUGUCCAGAUUUAAAAAUACAUGGAGGAAAAUGUCACCUCAGACAGAAGAAAACUAUUAGAAAUCAUCAAUCGCUUAUGAGAUAAUUGCAAGUCCACUCCAUCUUCUGAUUCUGUAUUAGACAAGGUUAAAGAAAAAGUUUUCCAGAAUUAUGUCAAGCACAUUUCAGAUCGAAGUACUCUGCACAUGCUCGCAAGUUAGCCUAUUUUUAGAUCUACCAGUAGGUUCACUUCCCUUAAUUAACUAAUGAAAUCUGAUUAGAAAUGUGAUGGAACAUGGCCAUGUGAGCUCACCUAAUUAAGCCUUGGUUCUGAUUUCUGAAGUUGAAGCACACGUCUACAGCUUCGGCAGGUUGGUCUCAGUCGUGGGCGGCAGGGUAGGAUCCACCGAGGGCGGCAGGCUAACUAGGAUCCAUCGAGGGCGGCAGGGUCGGGCGAGCAUCGCAGUGG